UGCAGUCGAGCGCUACCUUCGGGUGGAGCGGCGGACGGGUUAGUAACGCGUGGGAACGUACCCAGAUCUAAGGAAUAGCCACUGGAAACGGUGAGUAAUACCUUAUACGCCCUUCGGGGGAAAGAUUUAUCGGAUUUGGAUCGGCCCGCGUUAGAUUAGAUAGUUGGUGGGGUAAUGGCCUACCAAGUCUACGAUCUAUAGCUGGUUUUAGAGGAUGAUCAGCAACACUGGGACUGAGACACGGCCCAGACUCCUACGGGAGGCAGCAGUGGGGAAUCUUGGACAAUGGGCGCAAGCCUGAUCCAGCCAUGCCGCGUGAGUGAUGAAGGCCUUAGGGUCGUAAAGCUCUUUCGCCAGAGAUGAUAAUGACAGUAUCUGGUAAAGAAACCCCGGCUAACUCCGUGCCAGCAGCCGCGGUAAUACGGAGGGGGUUAGCGUUGUUCGGAAUUACUGGGCGUAAAGCGUACGUAGGCGGAUUAGUCAGUCAGAGGUGAAAUCCCAGGGCUCAACCCUGGAACUGCCUUUGAUACUGCUAGUCUUGAGUUCGAGAGA
This 552-nucleotide ribosomal RNA is filed under the name Lentibacter sp. RNAcentral's name for it is "bacterial SSU rRNA". It matches the Rfam family "Bacterial small subunit ribosomal RNA", at positions 56 to 655 of the family's 1533-position model. The record is from RNAcentral. Lineage: Bacteria; Pseudomonadati; Pseudomonadota; Alphaproteobacteria; Rhodobacterales; Roseobacteraceae.